CAGACGUCGACUCCAGCAAAAAUGUCCUGACUGACUUCAGGAGAGAGGAAUUAUUGCUACGUGCCUCUUUCCCAGGUACAGGGGACAGGAAGUGCCUGGGCUUUGACUGACAACUAUUCUGGAAGAAUGAAGAAAAUCUCUGUUGGCUGCGAGCAGAGAAGCGGCGGAAGGAUUCCCGACUCCGGGAAGCCAGGUGUCGGAAGGAGGAAGUACGCUUGAAGGGGGUCCGGCUGGCCGACUCUGCACUCGUCCGUUCGUGGCCCACCGUGGUGGUCACCAAAUUGAGGGCUUCCUGGAAGGACCUCCUCACGGUGCCCAUCCACUGGGUCAUGUGGGUCUGGGCCACUGUGAGUUUAUCUCCCAGCUGUCUCUCCCUCCCUCUCUGGAAGGCAACACUGAUCCAGGAUCUCACUCUGUUGCCCAGGCUGGACUGCAGUGGCAUGAUCACAGCUCACUGCAGCCUUGGCCUCCCAGGCUCAAGCGAUCCUCCCACCUCAGCCUCCUCGGUAGCUAGGACUACAGGUGGAGCAACACCGUCAGUCAGAAGGCAGCGGAUGGCACAGGGCUUCCGCGUAAGGCCUGCAUCGCCUGAGUCAUGGUUUUCUCAUCUUGUAUGAGGCCCACCCCCUUCAAAAGGUUGUGACAAAAAAAACAACUGAGAUAAUUUGUGCCGCUGGCACAUAGUUAACACUCAAUAAGGCCGGGCGCAGUGGCUUACACCUCUAAUCCCAGCACUUUGGGAGGCUGAGGCAGGUGGAUCACUUGAGGCCAGGAGUUCGAUACCAGCCUGACCAACAUGGUGAAACCCCAUCUCAACUAAAAAUACAAAAAUUAGCCAGGCAUGGUGGUGUGCACCUGUAGUCCCAGCUACUUGGGAGCCUGAGGCAGGAGCAUCUCUUGAACCCGGGAGGUGGAGGUUGCAGUGAGCGGAGAUGGCACCACUGCACUCCAGCCUGGGCGACAGAACAAGACUCUGUCUCAAAACAACAACAACAACAAAAUAAUAAAUGGUGACCACAAGGG
This 1023-nucleotide long non-coding RNA is filed under the name Homo sapiens (human). Its description in RNAcentral is "HSALNT0405205". The record is from RNAcentral. Lineage: Eukaryota; Metazoa; Chordata; Mammalia; Primates; Hominidae.